CCCUUAGACGUUCUGGGCCGCACGCGCGCUACACUGACCAGUGCAACAAGCAUCCGUCCUUGGCCGACAGGCCCGGGCAAUCUUUGAACGCUGGUCGUGAUGGGGAUAGACUUUUGCAAUUUUUGGUCUUCAACGAGGAAUUCCUAGUAAACGCAAGUCAACAACUUGCAUUGAUUACGUCCCUGCCCUUUGUACACACCGCCCGUCGCACCUACCGAUUGAAUGGUCCGGUGAAGCCUCCGGAUUGGCGCGCACCUCGGUGCCGCCGAGAAGUUGGCUAAACCUUACCAUUUAGAGGAAGGUGAAGUCGUAACA
Molecule: ribosomal RNA, 315 nt
Filed under: uncultured eukaryote
Lineage: Eukaryota
Description: partial 18S ribosomal RNA
Rfam family: Eukaryotic small subunit ribosomal RNA
Source: RNAcentral